Molecule: ribosomal RNA, 68 nt
Filed under: Asparagus filicinus
Lineage: Eukaryota; Viridiplantae; Streptophyta; Magnoliopsida; Asparagales; Asparagaceae
Description: partial 18S ribosomal RNA
Source: RNAcentral
UGGCUUUAUCAUGCGGCACCUCAGUGCUCUCGUACCAUGUAGGCUGAGACGACAUGUGAACUAGUAAA